This is a long non-coding RNA of Oncorhynchus tshawytscha (Chinook salmon), 862 nucleotides long. Lineage: Eukaryota; Metazoa; Chordata; Actinopteri; Salmoniformes; Salmonidae. The record is from Ensembl.
AGAGACAUCAUGCCAAUAGGUACCAGUCAUGGUGAGUAGAGACAUGUCAAUAGGUACCAGUCAUGGUGAGUAGAGACCUCAUGUCAAUAGGUACCAGUCAUGGUGAAUAGAGACAUCAUGUCAAUAGGUACCAGUCAUGGUGAGUAGAGACAUGUCAAUAGGUACCAGUCAUGGUGAGUAGAGACAUGUCAAUAGGUACCAGUCAUGGUGAGUAGACCUCAUGUCAAUAGGUACCAGUCAUGGUGAGUAGAGACAUGUCAAUAGGUACAGGUCAUGGUGAGUAGAGACAUCGUGCCAAUAGGUACCAGUGAUGGUGAAUGGAGACAUCGUGCCAAUAGGUACCAGUGAUGGUGAAUGGAGACAUCGUGCCAAUAGGUACCAGUGAUGGUGAAUGGAGACAUCGUGCCAAUAGGUACCAGUCAUGGUGAGUAGAGACAUGUCAAUAGGUACCAGUCAUGGUGAGUAGAGACAUCGUGCCAAUAGGUACCAGUCAUGGUGAGUAGAGACAUGUCAAUAGGUACCAGUCAUGGUGAAUAGAGACAUGUCAAUAGGUACCAGUCAUGGUGAGUAGAGACCUCAUGUCAAUAGGUACCAGUCAUGGUGAGUAGAGACCUCAUGUCAAUAGGUACCAGUCAUGGUGAGUAGAGACCUCAUAUCAAUAGGUACCAGUCAUGGUCAGUAGAGACCUCAUGUCAAUAGGUACCAGUCAUGGUGAGUAGAGUGAGACAUCAUGCCAAUAGGUACCAGUCAUGGUGAGUAGAGACCUCAUGUCAAUAGGUACCAGUCAUGGUGAGUGGAGUGAGACAUCAUGCCAAUAGGUACCAGUCAUGGUGAGUAGAGACCUCAUGUCAAUAGGUACCAG